UUCUCCUGCCUCAGCCUCCUGAGUAGCUGGGAUUACAGGCGCCUGCCACCAUGCCUGACUAAUUUUUGUAUUUUUAGUAGAGAUAGGGUUUCACCAUGUUGACCAGACUGGUCUCAAACUCAUGACCUUAGGUGAUCUGCCCACCUCAGCCUCCCAAAGUGCUGGGAUUAUAUGUGUGAGCUACCAUGCCCGGCCUUUAGAUUGCUUUUGAAUGUCCUGGUUUUCUACAUGUUUUUUCCUUGUCAUAUUUUUAAGGAAUACAACAUUGUAAGACAUACUGCAUGUUUUUCUUGUAAUGGUUGUUUAUUUUGAAACAUCAUGAACUGUCUUGGCCUGAUAGGUUUGCAGAGGAAAUCAAAGAGGGAUCUGUGAAAAAGGCACUGUGAGCUGCUAUACGACAUGCUGUCCUUUGCUGUUCCACUUGUAGCAGAAUUCAACGUUUUUCUAACAGGGUCUUAUCCUGGCACUGAGGGUGCUAGACUGGCGAUUUUGGCCGACUUAUUGGGUGGGUGGCUUCUUGGGGCCCACAUGAGCCAAUGGUAUCAUCCCCGCAGUGGAAGCUCCUUUCCUGGAUGCUCCUUGUCCAAGAAGAAGAGCAGAAACCACAUCCCUGAAAGGUAAUAUGUCUCGGUCCCUUGGCAUGGCCUUUCCAGCUCAUGGCUUCUGGGUGUGGGCUUCACCUUUUAUGGUCUCUGCGUCUCACAAGCUUGGCUUGUCUGCCCCUUGCUUUGAGGCUUUGACCCUCUUCGCCAGCCACUGUAGCUGAAAGGGGCAAUGUCUGUGAUGUCCUGUGAUUUCUCCUUAUUCUUGUAAAAGCGAGGUUCUGGCCAUUGCUCUUAGGUAAAAUACGAAAGGAUUGCUUUAAGGCGGGACUGUUACUUUUGGGGACACUCCUUAAUUCCCAAAAUCGAACCUCCUCAAUUCCUUGUUACUUGGCAUGGAAAGUGUAAUGAUUUGAGUUAGGAAGCCAGUAGUAGCGCCCUGAGAUCACACAUGGAAAGUUGGUUUGUAUUGUUUGCAGAAAUCACGAAGAGCAUACGCUGUUAGGUCCUAAUAGUCCUCAUUGGAGAGUUGUUCCUUUAUACGUACAAAUGAUUAAUUUUGAGACUUUGCACGUAUGUGCAGUGAACUGUUUUUACUCCUUGAGACCAUCCUCCACCAUUUCAUACCUCAAUAAAUCCUCUUUAUAUUAUGUCCUAUCUUUUGACUGUCACCUUCUGUCAGCCCCCAAUAG
RNAcentral lists this long non-coding RNA (1234 nucleotides) under Aotus nancymaae (Ma's night monkey). Its description in RNAcentral is "lncRNA (ENSANAG00000038674.1)". Lineage: Eukaryota; Metazoa; Chordata; Mammalia; Primates; Aotidae. The record is from RNAcentral.